GAGUUUGAUCGUGGCUCAGAUUGAACGCUGGCGGCAUGCCUUACACAUGCAAGUCGAACGGCAGCACGGGAGCUUGCUCCUGGUGGCGAGUGGCGAACGGGUGAGUAAUGCAUCGGAACGUAUCCUGGAGUGGGGGACAACGUAGCGAAAGUUACGCUAAUACCGCAUAUUCUGUGAGCAGGAAAGCGGGGGACCUUCGGGCCUCGCGCUCUUGGAGCGGCCGAUGUCGGAUUAGCUAGUUGGUGAGGUAAAGGCUCACCAAGGCGACGAUCCGUAGCAGGUCUGAGAGGAUGAUCUGCCACACUGGAACUGAGACACGGUCCAGACUCCUACGGGAGGCAGCAGUGGGGAAUUUUGGACAAUGGGGGCAACCCUGAUCCAGCCAUGCCGCGUGAGUGAAGAAGGCCUCGGUUGUAA
Molecule: ribosomal RNA, 417 nt
Filed under: bacterium enrichment culture clone ALO1_GLFRUDD03HD4M4
Lineage: Bacteria
Description: bacterial SSU rRNA
Rfam family: Bacterial small subunit ribosomal RNA
Source: RNAcentral